This is a long non-coding RNA of Lacerta agilis (Sand lizard), 490 nucleotides long. RefSeq lists it as uncharacterized. The record is from RefSeq and is a predicted model, not a curated record. Lineage: Eukaryota; Metazoa; Chordata; Lepidosauria; Squamata; Lacertidae. The transcript is spliced from 3 exons.
CGCUCUCUCUGGCAGCUUGCACUCUCUGACUUUAACCCUUAAGGCAUCGAGCAUAUGUUCCCUAUACUGGAAGCCCAGGUUCCCUCCCUUAUCUCCCCCUUACAAUUAUCCAGCGGAGAUAUCCUGCCUCCCACGCGGGGGCUCCCAUUCCCGCUCCCGCUGCCCGGGAUAGCUGCCAGCGUCGCCAGGAUUUCGGGAAGCUACAACUUGCCCUGGCUUCUGCAGUCCUCAAGAAAUUGAACCUGCAAACCUGGUCAGAAUGGAGGGAGGAAGAUGGAUAGCUGACCUGGUCAAACUGUCUCCCGCAUCCCUCCCUACAACCUCUAAGCAUCCCCUCCCGGGCCCCUUGGAGAAAUCUGGUGAAGAAGAUGAUGGUCAGGAUUCCAUGGAGCCAUCUGUGAAUCCAUUGGAAACAGCAAAGAAACAGUUUGAAUGCAUGGAGUGUGGAAAGAGCUUCAGUCUAUAUGGAGGCCUUAGAAUACAUCAACGA